Molecule: small nuclear RNA, 170 nt
Organism: Antechinus flavipes (yellow-footed antechinus)
Lineage: Eukaryota; Metazoa; Chordata; Mammalia; Dasyuromorphia; Dasyuridae
Product: U1 spliceosomal RNA
Exons: 1
Source: RefSeq, a predicted model, not a curated record
AUACUUACCUAGCAGAUAAUUCUGCUAUGAUCACAAAACUGGUUUCCCCAGGGUGAGGCUUAUCCAUUUGACUCAGGAUGGGCUGACUCCUGCAAUUUUCUCCAAUUCAGGAAACUUGACUGCAUAAUUUGUGGUAAUGGGGGAAAAGUAAAUUAAAAAAAAAUAGCUUG